AAGGGUGUAGCUCAGUGAUAGAGUGUGUGCCUAGCACGCACAAGGUCCUGGGUUCAAUUCCCAGUACCUUCA
This 72-nucleotide transfer RNA is filed under the name Camelus bactrianus (Bactrian camel). It matches the Rfam family "tRNA". Rfam says of the family: Transfer RNA (tRNA) molecules are approximately 80 nucleotides in length. Their secondary structure includes four short double-helical elements and three loops (D, anti-codon, and T loops). Further hydrogen bonds mediate the characteristic L-shaped molecular structure. tRNAs have two regions of fundamental functional importance: the anti-codon, which is responsible for specific mRNA codon recognition, and the 3' end, to which the tRNAs corresponding amino acid is attached (by aminoacyl-tRNA synthetases). tRNAs cope with the degeneracy of the genetic code in two manners: having more than one tRNA (with a specific anti-codon) for a particular amino acid; and 'wobble' base-pairing, i.e. permitting non-standard base-pairing at the 3rd anti-codon position. The record is from Rfam by way of RNAcentral. Lineage: Eukaryota; Metazoa; Chordata; Mammalia; Artiodactyla; Camelidae. RNAcentral also lists the same sequence under 2 other names.